CCCUUAGAGUUUGAUCCUGGCUCAGAACGAACGUUGGCGGCGUGGAUUAGGCAUGCAAGUCGAACGAAUCCUAUCUGGGUAACUGGGUAGGGAAAGUGGCGAAAGGGGCAGUAAGGCAUGGAUAACUUGCCCCGGAGUCUGGAAUAGCCAUCCUAACGGAUGGGUAAUACUGGAUGCCGUGUCGAGGGGGCAUCUUCUUGACACGAAAGUUUCGACGCUCCGGGAGAGGUUCAUGUGGUAUUAGCUAGUUGGUGAGGUAACGGCUCACCAAGGCCAAGAUGCCUAGCAGGUGUGAGAGCACGACCUGCGUCACUGGCACUGGGACACUGGCCAGACUCCUACGGGAGGCUGCAGUCGAGGAUCUUCGGCAAUGGGCGAAAGCCUGACCGAGCGACGCCGCGUGUGCGAUGAAGGCCUUCGGGUUGUAAAGCACUGUCGAGGGAGAGAAAAGGGUAACCUUGAUCGAUCUCUGGAGGAAGCACGGGCUAAGUUCGUGCCAGCAGCCGCGGUAAGACGAACCGUGCGAACGUUGUUCGGAAUAACUGGGCUUAAAGGGUGCGUAGGCGGGCUCAAAAGUCAGGGGUGAAAUCCCACGGCUCAACCGUGGAAGUGCCUUUGAUACUGUGAGUCUAGAGGGAGGUAGGGGCGUGCGGAACUUCCGGUGGAGCGGUGAAAUGCGUAGAUAUCGGAAGGAACACCGGUGGCGAAAGCGGCGCGCUGGACCUCAACUGACGCUGAGGCACGAAAGCCAGGGGAACAAACGGGAUAGAUACCCCGGUAGUCCUGGCCCUAAACGAUGGGUGCUAGGUAGUGGACUGACAUGGGUUCACUGCCGAAGCAAAAGUGAUAAGUACCCCGCCUGGGGAGUAUGGUCGCAAGGCUGAAACUCAAAGGAAUUGACGGGGGCUCACACAAGCGGUGGAGCAUGUGGCUUAAUUCGAGGCUACGCGAAGAACCUUAUCCUGGACUUGACAUAUGCGAAAGCGGUAGGAAGUAGCCCGCGGAAACGUGGGGCCAACGGUAUCCAGUCCGGAACCUACUACAGGUGCUGCAUGGCUGUCGUCAGCUCGUGUCGUGAGAUGUCGGGUUAAGUCCCAUAACGAGCGCAACCCCUGUCUUCAGUUGCCAGCGAGUAAUGUCGGGGACUCUGAAGAGACUGCCGGUGUUAAACCGGAGGAAGGUGGGGAUGACGUCAAGUCCUCAUGGCCUUUAUGUCCAGGGCUGCACACGUGCUACAAUGGCGUACACAGAGGGAAGCCAACUCGUGAGAGGGAGCUAAUCUCAAAAAAUACGCCUCAGUUCAGAUUGAAGGCUGCAACUCGCCUUCAUGAAGUUGGAAUCGCUAGUAAUCGCGGGUCAGCAACACCGCGGUGAAUGUGUUCCUGAGCCUUGUACGCACCGCCCGUCAAGCCACGAAAGAGAGGGGGGGGCCAAGUCGCCGUGCUAACCGCAAGGAAGCAAGCGCCUAACCUCCAACUCUUGAUUGGGACUAAGUCGUAACAAGGUAACCAAGGG
Molecule: ribosomal RNA, 1515 nt
Filed under: uncultured bacterium
Lineage: Bacteria
Description: bacterial SSU rRNA
Rfam family: Bacterial small subunit ribosomal RNA
Source: RNAcentral